This 228-nucleotide ribosomal RNA is filed under the name uncultured bacterium. RNAcentral describes it as "partial 16S ribosomal RNA". It matches the Rfam family "Bacterial small subunit ribosomal RNA", at positions 29 to 240 of the family's 1533-position model. The record is from RNAcentral.
AACGAACGCUGGCGGCGUGCCUCAUACAUGCAAGUCGUACGCGAAUCCUGCCGCAAGGCAGGGUUUGAGUGACAAACGGGUGCGUAACACGUAGGUAAUCUUCCUUUGAGUUGGGGAUAAACCCUCGAAAGGGGUCUAAUACCGAAUAACACUUCUGGUUGGCAUCAACCGGAAAUUAAAGGUGGCCUCUGCUUGCAAGCUAUCGCUCGGAGAUGAGCCUGCGGCCGA